RNAcentral lists this unclassified non-coding RNA (241 nucleotides) under Hevea brasiliensis (rubber tree). Lineage: Eukaryota; Viridiplantae; Streptophyta; Magnoliopsida; Malpighiales; Euphorbiaceae. The record is from RNAcentral.
GCUUCCUGAGGUAGGUCUCUUGUUAUUAUAUAUACAUACAUUGAUGUGUACUCUGUUUUUCAGCUAAAAAUUGAAGUUCAUUUUUUUUUCUUUGACCUUGACUUUUAGCAUCGGGAACAUGUGUAGUUACACCUGGAACAGAUUUGAACUUGGAAUCGCAAAAGAAUUUUAAAUUGUUAAGUUCAAGAAUCAUAUUCUAGCUUUUUUUGCUCCUUAGAUUUAUUUAUACAUGCCAUUGUAA